This 216-nucleotide ribosomal RNA is filed under the name Glomeromycotina sp. RNAcentral describes it as "partial small subunit ribosomal RNA". The stretch from base 40 to 216 matches the Rfam family "Eukaryotic small subunit ribosomal RNA", at positions 686 to 864 of the family's 1831-position model. Lineage: Eukaryota; Fungi; Glomeromycota. The record is from RNAcentral.
GGGUCAGUAGGUUCGUCGUGCCACCGGUACGUACUGGUCUCACUGAUUCCUCCUUCCUGAAGAACCGUAAUGCCAUUAAUUUGGUGUUGCGGGGAAACAGGACUGUUACUUUGAAAAGAUUAGAGUGUUUAAAGCAAGCUAACGCUUGAAUACAUUAGCAUGGAAUAAUGAAAUAGGACGAUCGAUCCUAUUUUGUUGGUUUCUAGGAUUGACGUA